UUGGUAUGUGUUACGCAGCACUCUGGAACGCUUCGGUUAUCGUCGGACGCCGCCAUGUUUCGCUGUGGUUAGCAUAUGUCUUACAAUCUUGAUUUCAAACGAUUAGUUAAUUAUUCCCAACAUAUCUCUGAACUGUCCUUUCUGUGCUGGGUAGAGUUGCAAAAGGACCAAAAUCCCAUGACAAAUCUUUGAAAGAUUUUGAAUUCAAAUUGACGAGAAACUGACCGCUCUUAUAAAGUUUAAAUGCUUCUUGACUUCUCGUUGAAGAUUAACAAUGGAGAACGGCUAUAAGCAAGGCAGAGGUUCUGCAGUGACGAUUACUCCCGUUGGGUUUGGCUCCAAAAACUUUACGACGAAAAAGAAAUCCCGUAAACUGGUGCCCAUUCUUUUUAUGGUCAUAGUCCCUUUACUGAUUUGCUUCAUUCUCGUCAUGAUCUUCUUCUUCGCUGCAAAAAUCCCUCCACCAAAGCCAUACACAUCGCCAUGCCUCGCAUCAGAAGAAGCCAACCGCACUAACCUCACAAACGUGCUUAAAAAAAUUCAUCGACAGUAUUUCUUCGAACUUCAUCCCGAGAAGAUAUACCAGAUGGCACGAGUGAAACCUGAAGAUAUCCGAAUGUAUUUCCGGCCUUACGAUCCAACCCCGAAUGCUACCAAAAACCGGACUGACGUGGCUAUGGAGCUACGCCGGGAGUUAAAUGCGUUGAAAUUUAAUAAAACUCUGCUGAAGCUAAGAGAGCGCAAGGCGGUACAUGUGGCUAAUACCAUAUUAGAGAACAAUUUCGGAUGGUCUCCGUACUUUCAAGAUUACUACAACGGUGAUUGGCUGCUUGGACCCGACAUAUUCUGUUGGCAGCCUGUUUGUGACGUAUUUUAUCACCUAAAUCGGGUUUUUGAUCAUUUCAAGCCUCGAAACAUGACCGAACUUGAGAAGCUUAAGGAUCUGUUUGAGGGUUACAAUCGCACGUUCAAUCGGUACGUGGAGAACUGGAAGCUAGGAGCGCGAACAGGUUAUGUGAAAACCAACGAAGCUUGUAAAGCUGGUUUAUUCGUCAUCAAGUACCAAAAAUACCGUGCCUAUGCUCUGAAAAACGAGGCUGCAAUCUAUGAUGAGCCAUUUGCGAAGAUUCUAUUGAACACUAGCUAUUUCGAGCAUCUGUCAAAGAGAGUCAACGAUAGUUGGAAGGAGGUAUUCUUGAUGAACGUGACUGAAUACUUUAGGUGGUCUCUGGUGCACAACAUCGCAAAAGCUGUUGUGCAUAUGUUGAGGUUCCUUGAGCACGAGUACUUGAGGAACUGCCCUUCGGAUGAGAACAUCAUUAGCGGUCUAGGAAAAGUACCUCUCCGUUUUCUGUAUUACGAUGACAUCCCAGACACAAGUCAGUUAGCAUUCCAUCGACUCCCCACUGGAGAGGAGCUGAGUGGACCAAAGACGUAUCAAACACUGAUGAAAUACUUUGCAACUCUUGACAUUUCACCUGCUGAUCUAAGGGAGAGAGCUUGGACGAGGUUGAAUGAGUUGUAUAAGCAGGCUGUUGAUGUGGCCAAAAGGUAUACUGGUGAAAAGGACAAUAGGACAGCCAUCACCGCCUUCAAAGCCGUGUUACGCCAUUCCAACAUGUCGUUUAACAAUAAACCGUUUCCUGCCAAUGAGAGUGACGAAAAUGCCUACAUAAAAUGUUAUGACGACAAGAGCGCACAGGGGUAUUGUCCUGAGCGGUGGAAAGCAAUGCAGAAGUGGAUUGAAAACACUGUUGAAACGAUGAAAAACAAUAUUGGCCCAGUCUACAAACCACUAUUUUAUCGCAGUGGUCCUAAAAACACAGUUCCUGUCUGUCCAGUGGAUGUUAUAUCUUGGUUUCAUCCGCAUGUCCGCUUUCACGGAUAUGCGCCAGGCUCUAAAGACUGCAAGGUUAACGCUACGCAAGGUUUGCCGUUUUUCGCGGACAAUUUUGGCCCAAAAUGGACAGAAUUUACGACCACAGCCCAUGAACAACUCCCUGGACACCAUUUAGAGGUGCAUAGUUACAUAGAGUAUUUUGAAGACAGCUGCAACGAUCCGAUUCACUGGCUGGAGAAAGCAAAUUUUUUCCCAGGGUUCACUGAGGGCUGGACAACCUACGUGGAGUAUCAACUGCUGCCACAAGACACGAACCUCUACUCAGACAAUCAAGACAAAGAAAUAUUGCUGCAAAGAUACGGCAUGAUUUACUAUCAGCUGUUAGCCGCUCUUCGUGCCAUCGUGGAUAUUGAUCUGAAUUUUAAUCAAACGCCAGAGAUAACCGUGCUAGAUAUGUAUAAUGAAUACGUGUGGGAAGACAAUACUGACCUGGCAAAGAAAGACGUCCUGCGCUCGCAAAGCGUACCGGGAUAUGUCACAAGCUACAUGAUUGGCCAAAUGGAAAUUUCCCGCGUCAGAGGCAUUGCCGAGAGGGAACUGGGGCGAAAUUUUAAUUUAGAGGAGUUCCAUUACGAGCUGCUUCGACAGGGGGAGUUCCCCCUGAGGUAUCUCGAAGAACACAUACGUGAUUAUAUCGCAUGCAAAAAGGACCCUACAAUAGAGGGAUGUAAAGAGUUUUGAGGCGUAAAUUUAAUAGUUUUUGAAAGUCGAUUGUGCGAAAGCAAUAUGCAUUCUUUGCUGGACUGUGCGAUUACGAAAUACAGAAUCGCUACAAAUCACCAAAAAGGUUGGGAGUGACGCUACACGAAAUUUCUCAGUGCCUAAUUAUCUUUAUCACCACAUACAGCAAAACUCCAUGUGUUUUCACCACCUAUGACUUAGCCCCCACUGUAUUUCAUUUGCUCUUCCCUACUUAUAACACUAUAAGAAACAAUUUGAUCGUGUCUCCAAAAUCUCUAGCUCGCAUUGUGCAUAACAGAUUUCAACAUGUUUCCGCAAUUUUAAUGACAUGAUGCGCCAUGUUCCUUUCUCCUUCUUUAACCUUUUUAUUCCCUAAACUGACCAACAUCUAAUUUCUCCUGAGAAUCACAGCUGAAUCAAACAUUAGGGACAUGAGAAUAAAGGGAAUUAUCACAGAUCUAGAUUGUUUUGCAAAUUCUCUUUGUCAGUGCUAUAGCAAAUGUAUAGAGAACGGUAUGGAGAAUAUGCACACUGAUGCUAGGAUGUGAAGGGUUAAUCUUAAGAGUUGAUCGGUUUCUACGUUCUUUCCAUCUGCAACAUAACGCACCUUGAAAACACCAUUUGUAAAACUCAUGGCAACAAUUUCACCUGUUUCCAACUAUCAGUAACAUGUCUCGCGAAAACAUUGACACAUUGGCACAACAAUUUCAGCUAUUUCCAACAGUCACAGAACAAUUCAUGUGUUCCGACCUCUAAAAGAACUGCAACUAUUUUGGUCAAUCCACUAUCUAUAAUUCGAUAACUUAAUGGAAGUUUUCGUAUAUAGCUUUUUUUAAAAUUUUUGACGGGAUAUCAUAGUUUCAAAGAGAGCCAUUUAAUCACUACAAUGAUUAAUAAAAUUGUAUUUCACGUCGAUA
Molecule: unclassified non-coding RNA, 3498 nt
Filed under: Pocillopora damicornis (cauliflower coral)
Lineage: Eukaryota; Metazoa; Cnidaria; Anthozoa; Scleractinia; Pocilloporidae
Description: uncharacterized LOC113676958, transcript variant X1
Source: RNAcentral